GAAUCUCGUAUAUUUAGCCCAAAACCAUAACAAGUUGUAUAUGGUUUCGUUACAAAUGCUACUCAAACUAACGAUCUCUAAAUUUUUGCUAGAGAUUUUUACCACAUAGUGUAAGAAGAUAAAUUAUUCCUAAUCCGAAUACACUAACGAUGCAAAUAGUCUUACAUAUACGAAAUAAAAAUCUUAAAUACAGAAGCAAAAGAGAAUAAACCAAGAAAGAUGAAGAGAAAGAAACAA
This 237-nucleotide long non-coding RNA is filed under the name Capsella rubella. Its description in RNAcentral is "long non-coding RNA (CRUB_LNC003761)". The record is from RNAcentral. Lineage: Eukaryota; Viridiplantae; Streptophyta; Magnoliopsida; Brassicales; Brassicaceae.